This 77-nucleotide transfer RNA is filed under the name Pseudomonadota bacterium. RNAcentral's name for it is "tRNA-His". It matches the Rfam family "tRNA". From Rfam's summary of the family: Transfer RNA (tRNA) molecules are approximately 80 nucleotides in length. Their secondary structure includes four short double-helical elements and three loops (D, anti-codon, and T loops). Lineage: Bacteria; Pseudomonadati; Pseudomonadota. RNAcentral also lists the same sequence under 1 other name. The record is from RNAcentral.
GUGACUGUAGCUCAGAUGGUGAGAGCGUCGGGUUGUGGUCCCGAAGGUCGGGGGUUCGAGUCCCCUCAGUCACCCCA